GGGGGGGGGGGGGGGGGGGGCGGGGGGGUGGGGGUCGGGCGGUGGCGGUGGGCAACCGGGCGGCGGGUGGCGGGCGGGUGAGUAAUGCAUCGGAACGUGCCCAGGCGGGGGGGCUAGCCCGGCGCCAGCCGGAGUAAUACCGCAUGGGACCUGCUGGUGAACGGGCGGGAGCGCACGACCUCGCUCUUUUUUAGCGGCCGAUUUGAGAUUCGCUAGUUGUGGGGGUAAAGGCCUACCAAGGCGACGAUCUGUCGCUGGUCUGAACGGACGACCAGCCACACGGGGACUGAGACACGGCCCAGACUCCUACGGGAGGCAGCAGUGGGGAAUUUUGGACAAUGGGCGCAAGCCUGAUCCAGACAUGCCGCGUGCGGGAAGAAGGCCUUCGGGUUGUAAACCGCUUUUGUCAGGGAAGAAACGCGCUGGGCUAAUACCCUGGGGUAAUGACGGUACCUGAAGAAUAAGCACCGGCUAACUACGUG
Molecule: ribosomal RNA, 482 nt
Filed under: uncultured bacterium
Lineage: Bacteria
Description: partial 16S ribosomal RNA
Rfam family: Bacterial small subunit ribosomal RNA
Source: RNAcentral